RNAcentral lists this ribosomal RNA (484 nucleotides) under uncultured bacterium. Its description in RNAcentral is "partial 16S ribosomal RNA". It matches the Rfam family "Bacterial small subunit ribosomal RNA", at positions 30 to 507 of the family's 1533-position model. The record is from RNAcentral.
AUUGAACGCUGGCGGAAUGCUUUACACAUGCAAGUCGAACGGCAGCACGGGGGCAGCCCUGGUGGCGAGUGGCGAACGGGUGAGUAAUACAUCGGAACGUGCCCGGUCGUGGGGGAUAUCGUAGCGAAAGUUACGCUAAUACCGCAUACGAUCUGAGGAUGAAAGCGGGGGACCUUCGGGCCUCGCGCGAUCGGAGCGGCCGAUGUCAGAUUAGGUAGUUGGUGGGGUAAAGGCCUACCAAGCCGACGAUCUGUAGCUGGUCUGAGAGGACGACCAGCCACACUGGGACUGAGACACGGCCCAGACUCCUACGGGAGGCAGCAGUGGGGAAUUUUGGACAAUGGGCGCAAGCCUGAUCCAGCCAUUCCGCGUGCAGGACGAAGGCCUUCGGGUUGUAAACUGCUUUUGUACGGAACGAAAAGGCUCUGGCUAAUACCUGGGGCUCAUGACGGUACCGUAAGAAUAAGCACCGGCUAACUACGUG